GUUCAGGAUUUUUCCAGCUGUCCAUUUUGCUUUUCCAAUUUUUCUAUAAGUUAUUACUGUUGUGCUAAGUCAUAGCAUUUCUGCUGCUUUUCAGUAGUUGUGCUAAAUACAGCAUUUCUGCUAAAUCAUACUAUUUCUGCUAUUUCAUAAGAUUUGUACUAAAUAUAGUGUUUCUGCCAAAUAUAGUAUUUCUGCUUAAUUAUAGUAUUUCUGCCAUUUUAUAGUAUUUGUGCUAAAACAUAGUAUUUCUACUAAAUGUAGUAUUUAUGCUUAAUCAUACUAUUUGUAUAUAUUUCUGCCAGGUCCCCAGGCAGCUAAUCCUCUGUGAGGACUGAUACAUAUAAAAUUUACAUAUCAGGGCCUGCACGGCUUCCCAGCCAGCCAAUCAUAUCUGAGGUCUGCCCUUUCUUCUCUCGUCAUAUCUCAGCGACAGAUGUACAAAGAGCAAUGCAAAUCACAGCCAAAGUACACGAAAGUACGCUGAUUCACCCAGUACAAGUAUUAUGCUUCUAGUCCACCUAGUUUUUGAGUUACACGACGUUUUGUAACUCCAAAAAACAGCGUUUUUCGCCUCUCACCGCAAUCUAAUUCUGACUGCUCAUCACCCUGUUUUCCAGGCGCUCGCUCUCUUUUAUUUGUGCUAAACCAGGUGGCGCAGUUGGUAAUGACACAGGUCUGCAACCAAAGGUCGUGGGUUCAAUUACACCUUGGCAACAUGUGUUUUUUCCCUACAAAUUAAUACACUAUCACAGACCACUAAUUCAUAUUCAUCAUUUAUUACAAUUCUGCAAACUUUUAUGAUUUUAGCAGCUUUUCUAAUAUGGACCUCAGAUUCUUCUUAACACUCCAUGGCACAAUGACUGCUCAUCACCCUGUUUUCCAGGCGCUCGCUCUCUUUCACAGUGGCGCAGUUGGUAAUGACACAGGUCUGCAACCCAAGGUCGUGGGUUCAAUUACACCUUGGGCAACAUGUGUUUUUUCCCUACAAAUUAAUACACUAUCACAGACCACUAAUUCAUAUUCAUCAUUUAUUACAAUUCUGCAACCUUUUAUGAUUUUUAGCAGCUUUUGUAAUAUGGACCUCAGAUUCUGUUAACACUCCAUGGCACAAUACUCUUCCCUUUAGGCUCUGUGUGUGUGUGUGUGUGUGUGUGUGUGUGUGUGUGUGUGAGAGAGAGAGAGAGAGAGAGCGAGAGAGAGCCUUUUGAUGGGACCAUCUUAUUAUAUCACUUAAAUUCAAUAUAUUUAGACUGGUUGACUGAAUUUGGUCCUGUGUGUGUCUCUCUGUGCAUGUGUGUUUCCAUAUGUGCC
RNAcentral lists this long non-coding RNA (1311 nucleotides) under Oreochromis niloticus (Nile tilapia). Its description in RNAcentral is "lncRNA (ENSONIG00000032768.1)". Lineage: Eukaryota; Metazoa; Chordata; Actinopteri; Cichliformes; Cichlidae. The record is from RNAcentral.